ACGCCUCUUCGUUGCUGGGAGGGGAGACAGAAGACAAGAAAGUGAAACCAGACCUACUCCUUUCCUGCCGCAGGACUGGAAGAGCAAACACAAACUGGUGUGCGCCGAGGUAAACAAACUCGGUGGCACCGCCCUCUCCUCCGACAGCUAGGAAGGAGGUGCUGAGACACUCAGGGAUGGGGGCUAGGAUUGCUGCAGGAUGCGCAAGGGAAGGAUUAAAUUGGAUCGCCUGAGGCUUCAAGUUUGCAGACUGCGCAGUGCCUGGGAAUCAACUGAGCAUAAAAUACGUUUAGUAGGAGAAAACAUUUUAAAGCCAUGGGGUGUGUUUAGAGCAGCCUUGUGUAGAGUUAGGAACAAGAGUUUUCUCACCUACUUUUGAGAACCUGGUCUGAUAGCUCCCAGGUAAAACUUGCAUAUAGUUCUAAAGGUAUAUGUUCAUGUAUAGUUUUUUAUCAUUCUCUUUAAAGAUGAAAGUUUCUUUGUGAACAAAAAUGCCAUUGUUGUAGACAAUAUCCAAGUUCGUGUGGUGGCUAAGUCUAUAAAUUUAAAGAGAGCAGCCUGGAGCUAAAAGUUAUGUUAGCAGAUUCAGUUCAUGCUAAGACAAAGAAAGGCUGGAGCACACAAUUACAGAUAAAAUCCUUAGUUACAUAGAACCUUCACCUACAUCAUUGCAUUUAAUGUGGUAAAUGAAGCUGCUGUUCUGUUUUGCAUUUAAUUUUUGUCAGUUAAUGAGUCUUAGCUGAGCUCUCCAUAACCUGGUUCCCAGGGUCAAUAAUUAAACUUGGUUUAUUCUUCCAUGUUCCAAAGUUACAUGUUUUAAAGAAAUGAAUGACACCCCGUUUCUUUUUUCUUCUUUUAACACACCUUUUUGGUUUUUACCAUUCACUGGGAUGCUUUUAAAAGAAACUAACUCCAGAAUGCUUCAUUUCUUGAAUAUCUGG
Prionailurus viverrinus (fishing cat) is the source of this 941-nucleotide long non-coding RNA. RefSeq lists it as uncharacterized. Lineage: Eukaryota; Metazoa; Chordata; Mammalia; Carnivora; Felidae. The record is from RefSeq and is a predicted model, not a curated record. The transcript is spliced from 3 exons.